RNAcentral lists this ribosomal RNA (429 nucleotides) under Gemmatimonadota bacterium. Its description in RNAcentral is "Gemmatimonadetes bacterium partial 16S ribosomal RNA". It matches the Rfam family "Bacterial small subunit ribosomal RNA", at positions 355 to 776 of the family's 1533-position model. The record is from RNAcentral. Lineage: Bacteria; Pseudomonadati; Gemmatimonadota.
UAGGGAAUCUUCGGCAAUGGACGAAAGUCUGACCGAGCAACGCCGCGUGAGUGAAGAAGGUUUUCGGAUCGUAAAACUCUGUUGUUAGAGAAGAACAAGGACGUUAGUAACUGAACGUCCCCUGACGGUAUCUAACCAGAAAGCCACGGCUAACUACGUGCCAGCAGCCGCGGUAAUACGUAGGUGGCAAGCGUUGUCCGGAUUUAUUGGGCGUAAAGCGAGCGCAGGCGGUUUCUUAAGUCUGAUGUGAAAGCCCCCGGCUCAACCGGGGAGGGUCAUUGGAAACUGGGAGACUUGAGUGCAGAAGAGGAGAGAGGAAUUCCAUGUGUAGCGGUGAAAUGCGUAGAUAUAUGGAGGAACACCAGUGGCGAAGGCGGCUCUCUGGGCUGUAACUGACGCUGAGGCUCGAAAGCGUGGGGAGCAAACAGG